This 22-nucleotide microRNA is filed under the name Ornithorhynchus anatinus (platypus). RNAcentral's name for it is "oan-miR-1422b-1-5p". Lineage: Eukaryota; Metazoa; Chordata; Mammalia; Monotremata; Ornithorhynchidae. The record is from miRBase by way of RNAcentral.
AAUCCAUACAAGUAUUUUCUAU